GUGCACUCUUCCCCAGCAUGCCCUGCACAUCACAGACGAACCGGUAGACGUAGCGCUUGCCGGCGGUUUUGUGGAUGAUGUUCUUGUGGUAGUAGUAGCGCAGGCCUCGGCUCAGCUUCUCGUAGUUCAUCUUGGGUUUGUUCUUGCACUGACCCCAUCGUUUAGCCACCUGAGCACCAGACAAACCAGACAGUGAGAUUUCAAAUGUAUAGUUAAUUGUACACUUUGUGUGGGCUACUAUUUAUUCGUUUAGCUACUCAUGGGGACAAAAGCUAAGCUACAGUAGCGUAUUUUCAGCCAGACACCAUUCAGCAGAAUUCUCAUGACCCUUGUUGGACUACGGAUGGUCAACAUCCAAAUCUGGGUCAGACAUCUUGAAUUCCCAGCCGUCUCCAGUCCAGCUGAUGAAAGUGUGGCACGCUGAGUCCAAAAGAAGCUCCAGCAGAAACUGCCACAGCUGGAUCGGCCCUGAUCCUGUAAACAGAUGAAAAAGAAUCCCUUGAUACAGAUUCAGACUAUGCGAGGUGUGACGGAUCUUACCUGGAUAGGCCGACAUCCCCGGCGAGACCUCGCCCUCUCUCUCUGAUCUCUGAGAUGAUGCCGGGCGUCUUUU
Molecule: long non-coding RNA, 613 nt
Organism: Trichomycterus rosablanca
Lineage: Eukaryota; Metazoa; Chordata; Actinopteri; Siluriformes; Trichomycteridae
Exons: 3
Source: RefSeq, a predicted model, not a curated record